GACGAACGCUGGCGGCGUGCUUAACACAUGCAAGUCGAACGGAAAGGCCCUGCUUUUGUGGGGUGCUCGAGUGGCGAACGGGUGAGUAACACGUGAGUAACCUGCCCGUGACUUUGGGAUAACUUCAGGAAACUGGUGCUAAUACCGGAUAGGAGCUCCUGCUGCAUGGUGGGGGUUGGAAAGUUUCGGCGGUUGGGGAUGGACGCGCGGCUUAUCAGCUUGUGGGUGGGGUAGUGGCUUACCAAGGCUUUGACGGGUAGCCGGCCUGGGAGGGUGGACGGCCACAUUGGGACUGAGAUACGGCCCAGACUCCUACGGGAGGCAGCAGGGGGGAAUAUUGCACAAUGGGCGGAAGCCUGAUGCAGAAACGCCGCGUGCGGGAUGACGGCCUUCGGGUUGUAAACCGCUUUAGCCUGUGACGAAGCGUGAGUGACGGUAAUGGGUAAAGAAGCACCGGCUAACUACGUG
This 468-nucleotide ribosomal RNA is filed under the name uncultured bacterium. RNAcentral's name for it is "partial 16S ribosomal RNA". It matches the Rfam family "Bacterial small subunit ribosomal RNA", at positions 28 to 507 of the family's 1533-position model. The record is from RNAcentral.